CGUGUAGGCGGCCUUGUAAGUCAGGCGUGAAAGGUUCUGGCUCAACCAGAGACUUGCACCUGAUACUGCAAGGCUUGAGUGCAGGAGAGGAGAGCGGAAUUCUUGGUGUAGCGGUGAAAUGCGUAGAUAUCAAGAAGAACACCAGUGGCGAAGGCGGCUCUCUGGCCUGUCACUGACGCUGAGGCGCGAAAGCCAGGGGAGCGAACAGGAUUAGAUACCCUGGUAGUCC
RNAcentral lists this ribosomal RNA (229 nucleotides) under uncultured bacterium. RNAcentral's name for it is "partial 16S ribosomal RNA". It matches the Rfam family "Bacterial small subunit ribosomal RNA", at positions 568 to 796 of the family's 1533-position model. The record is from RNAcentral.